This 73-nucleotide transfer RNA is filed under the name Diaphorina citri (Asian citrus psyllid). It matches the Rfam family "tRNA". From Rfam's summary of the family: Transfer RNA (tRNA) molecules are approximately 80 nucleotides in length. Their secondary structure includes four short double-helical elements and three loops (D, anti-codon, and T loops). The record is from Rfam by way of RNAcentral. Lineage: Eukaryota; Metazoa; Arthropoda; Insecta; Hemiptera; Psyllidae.
GCCUAUUUAGCUUAGUUGAUAGUGCGUCUGCCUUGUAAGCGCUAGGCCGCGGGUUCGAUUCCCGCCCGGGGCG